This 404-nucleotide ribosomal RNA is filed under the name uncultured Thermus sp. Its description in RNAcentral is "bacterial SSU rRNA". It matches the Rfam family "Bacterial small subunit ribosomal RNA", at positions 985 to 1382 of the family's 1533-position model. The record is from RNAcentral. Lineage: Bacteria; Thermotogati; Deinococcota; Deinococci; Thermales; Thermaceae.
UGCGUAAGGGAACCCGGGUGAAAGCCUGGGGUGCCCCGCGAGGGGGAGCCCUAGCACAGGUGCUGCAUGGCCGUCGUCAGCUCGUGCCGUGAGGUGUUGGGUUAAGUCCCGCAACGAGCGCAACCCCCGCCGUUAGUUGCCAGCGGUUCGGCCGGGCACUCUAACGGGACUGCCCGCGAAAGCGGGAGGAAGGAGGGGACGACGUCUGGUCAGCAUGGCCCUUACGGCCUGGGCGACACACGUGCUACAAUGCCCACUACAAAGCGAGGCCACUCGGCAACGGGGAGCUAAUCGACAAAAAGGUGGGCCCAGUUCGGAUUGGGGUCUGCAACCCGACCCCAUGAAGCCGGAAUCGCUAGUAAUCGCGGAUCAGCCAUGCCGCGGUGAAUACGUUCCCGGGCCUU